This is a long non-coding RNA of Biomphalaria glabrata, 2621 nucleotides long. RefSeq lists it as uncharacterized. The record is from RefSeq and is a predicted model, not a curated record. NCBI's taxonomy places the organism in Eukaryota, Metazoa, Mollusca, Gastropoda, Planorbidae. The transcript is spliced from 3 exons.
UAAAUAUAACUAAAAAUUUAGAACUAAGCAAGGAGCCAGAAAGUCCUCAUUUUGAGAGCACUGUUGCCAUCGCAGAUGAACGCGUGCGCAUUAAAACUAAAUCUGGAACUCGUCCACAAAUAAUAGGCCUACAAUUGAUCCAAGACUAAGGCCUAAAAUUAAGUGACUUCUUUGGAACCAUGAACAUCCUCUCCAAGUCUAUCUUUGUCAUCCUGUGCAACAUGGCAUUAUAUUUGGCAGUUCGGAAGACAGUUCUGGACGCUCUAGCCAGGGUCCAAGUACCAGUCUCAGAGGGCGAUCAAUGGGAGGCAUACGACCUGUACCACCAGGAUAGCCGCAGGAGCAGAGCCCAGUUACAGACCGCCACCUACCCAGGAUGUUAGCAUGUGUUGCUGGAGUGAUGUUUGGAAAGGGGUGGGGUGGGGAAUUGGGAAAGGUGGAAAAAUAAAGGGAGGGAGGCUUGGCGUCACGUGAUAUAAAUUUAUUCACCUAUCUAUCGUGUUUCUCAAUGUUGGAACACUUGAAUUUAUGGAUUGGAACAAAACGCACCAGGUUUGCCUUUGUUGUCCGAGUUAGGACAAUUAAACAUUUGUAAAACAUAUGGACUGAUUGUGUGUAUUAUUGAUGUAUAAUAAACUGAUUGACUAUUGAUGUAUAACAAAUGCAAGGCCAUGGCAUUAGAAUUUCUUGACCAUUCCAUCACACGUCAAAUAUUAAACUUUACAGUGCAUUGUACAAAAUGGUGGGGGCAUAGUCUGAAUAUUUGUAGCUCUAAUGACAAUAAAGUUUACAUCCUUGGAGCAUUAUUCUUUCAGUUAGCAGACAGAUUUUAUAAAUAAUAAGAAAAUAAGGUCAGGAGUUGGACUGGUUGCCAGAGGCUGUUUGAGACGCAUGCCAUUGGAAGCAUUUUAUAGGUAAUGAUGGACAAAGACCAUUACCACUUCCAGCGUUAACAACCUUGUGGAACAUGUGUAAGAUAAUAAAGAAAUAUAAUAUUUGAACAUGUAAUUUAUAAAAAUAAUUAUUAUUAUGUGGUAACUGUGGUAAUUUUAUAGAAAAGCAAAUGAUCAAGAAUUUAUACUCUUGCCUGUAGAACUGAAGGCUUUUGAUCUGGUAAGGUUUUAACUCCAGCAGGUCAAACUCAUUUUUAUUAGCAAAUUAAAAAAAAUUUUGAGUUUGAGAGAAUUCAUUAUUAAAACAAAGUCUGUCUGUGACAUUUUACAUCUUGAGAGACAAUCUUUACCCUUUACAACUUCUUAAAACAAAGUAUGAUGAUAUGAAUUCUAAAGGAAGAAUUGAAUAUUUACAUGCACAACAAUGAGUCAACAAAAAAAAAAGUCAUUGAAUGAAUAAAAAAAAAAGUUUUAUUUAGAACUGUACAAGUGUAACAAUUUCUAGUCAAAAUUUGGCCAUUACUUUAGACAAAGGUAUUUAGCAACUUUGUUGGCACAUUGGUUUGCACAACAUGAAAUAACAUUACCAAGGACAGCUUGGGAUAAAAAAUUGGAAUCGGAAGUGAGAGAGGCGAGGGAGGUAAUGAGAGAAGAAAUGAGGGAGGUGAAGGAAAUGUAGAGGGAGGAAUGAUAAAAAAUGGAAAGAUAAAGAGCUGAAAGAGAGUGAGAAAAUCCCUCAUAAUUUAUAUUUAUAACACAUCAGCAGGUGCCAUAUUAGGACAGUCCUACAAAAUUAAUCACCCAUGUAAACAAAUCACCCAGUGAACACAUCUUGUCUACUUUGUUUAAAUACCUUUUGUUUAGGAAGCCAGAUUUCCAUUUGCAGGUUAUCUAUCCUGACUAGAAAAAUAUAUAAUUUUCUACUGUUUUCAACAAGCUGUCAAAGUCUAAUGUAGUUUCAAAUACAGGUUAGUGACAACUGCAGCAGUUUAUUUCAGAUGAGAAACCAAUCUAGCAUAUCAUUAACUGGCCAUACCAUUCACUAGUAUCAUGUUAAUCACUCAAAUAAUGAAGUUUUUGUUCAUUCACCAUAUCAGUGACUCAAUAUUUUUUUUUGGUGGGGGGGGGGGGGGGGGGGAGGAGGGGGAGAAUUUAUCUUCACUGUGGAAAGGCAUUUGGAGGGGGCAGGAUAACCUCCCAUUACAGGCCAUUUUUAGGCGUCUCUACCUUAGAGCAUAAAUAACUACAAUUUAAUAGUAGAGCCUCUUCAAAAAAACAAACUCAGAUAAUAAUGACAUUUUUAUUCACACCAGACAAAGUUUCAGAUUUGUCCUCCACUGUUGAUGUCCCUAAUCUUCUGAUAGAAAGUUGACACUUGGUUCAAAAAUGUUUGUUUGUGUACAAGAGAAACAAUGAGGUAGACAAUUUUGUUGAUGACAGAUCGCACUAAAAAUUAAAAGUCAAAGAAAGUUGAAGGUCUCUAGUCUUCAUGUGGAUUGGUUUCUCUAUGCCCUAGUCAGUACUUAAGAUUACAUCUCUGAGUAAGUAUAGUGCAAAUACAACAUAUUUAUGAAGAAAAUAUUGCUAUUAUAGAUCUUAGUAAUAUAUAAAUAUAAGAAUAAAGCUCUGGGAUAGUCUGAAUAUUAUUUACAAAGCUUUCAACAUUGUGUUUCAUCACUAUAUAAUGGUUGCCUGCUUGCAGUGCAAGGGAAGUAAUGAAUCAAAGAA